Molecule: ribosomal RNA, 460 nt
Filed under: uncultured bacterium
Lineage: Bacteria
Description: partial 16S ribosomal RNA
Rfam family: Bacterial small subunit ribosomal RNA
Source: RNAcentral
CCUACGGGAGGCAGCAGUGAGGAAUAUUGGUCAAUGGACGAGAGUCUGAACCAGCCAAGUAGCGUGAAGGAUGACUGCCCUGUGGGUUGUAAACUUCUUUUAUAUGGGAAUAAAACGUUCCAUGUGUGGGAUUUUGUAUGUACCAUAUGAAUAAGGAUCGGCUAACUCCGUGCCAGCAGCCGCGGUAAUACGGAGGAACCGAGCGUUAUCCGGAUUUAUUGGGUUUAAAGGGAGCGUAGGUGGAUUGUUAAGUCAGUUGUGAAAGUUUGCGGCUCAACCGUAAAAUUGCAGUUGAAACUGGCAGUCUUGAGUACAGUAGAGGUGGGCGGAAUUCGUGGUGUAGCGGUGAAAUGCUUAGAUAUCACGAAGAACUCCGAUUGCGAAGGCAGUUCACUGGACUGCAACUGACACUGAGGCUCGAAAGUGUGGGUAUCAAACAGGAUUAGAUACCCCUGUAGUC